AACGAACGCUGGCGGCAUGCCUAACACAUACAAGUCGAACGAGACCUUCGGGUCUAGUGGCGCACGGGUGCGUAACGCGUGGGAACCUGCCCUUAGGUUCGGAAUAACUCCCCGAAAGGGGUGCUAAUACCGGAUAAUGUCUUCGGACCAAAGAUUUAUCGCCUUUGGAUGGGCCCGCGUUGGAUUAGCUAGUUGGUAGGGUAAAAGCCUACCAAGGCGACGAUCCAUAGCUGGUCUGAGAGGAUGAUCAGCCACACUGGGACUGAGACACGGCCCAGACUCCUACGGGAGGCAGCAGUGGGGAAUAUUGGACAAUGGGCGAAAGCCUGAUCCAGCAAUGCCGCGUGAGUGAUGAAGGCCUUAGGGUUGUAAAGCUCUUUUACCCGGGAUGAUAAUGACAGUACCGGGAGAAUAAGCUCCGGCUAACUCCGU
Molecule: ribosomal RNA, 432 nt
Filed under: uncultured bacterium
Lineage: Bacteria
Description: partial 16S ribosomal RNA
Rfam family: Bacterial small subunit ribosomal RNA
Source: RNAcentral